Molecule: long non-coding RNA, 1127 nt
Organism: Sapajus apella (tufted capuchin)
Lineage: Eukaryota; Metazoa; Chordata; Mammalia; Primates; Cebidae
Exons: 4
Source: RefSeq, a predicted model, not a curated record
GGAAGGCGCCGAGGGCAGCAGAAGUCAAGACGGCAGUCGGGAGGUGCUGUUCCCCGCAACCUCGGCUCCAGCGCUCGGGGCCGCUUCCCUCCCGGGUGCAGUCGGCUCUGCGCCGGGACCCGCAGCACGCCGUCCUCUGACGAGGCUCCCUCGGCCACAGUCCCCUCCCCUCCAUCAGACGCGCUGCGGAUGCGAAAGUCCAGACACAACUGAAAUUAGCAUCCAGGCUCCAGAUGCCACCCGUCCUCACGCAGAGGUUUGCACAGAAACAAGCGCCAUUCCUGACCUUGGGGACGUCGCCGAGUCCGUCUGCAGGCAGGGCAGGGAGGUGCUGAGAAUUCGGGUGCACGUGUCAGCACCCGGAGAGCCGGCCGCGGCCCUUGACCCCCUCCGCUCUGGGCCAGCCUCAACCAGCGGGGCCGAGGGGAGGACAGGCUCCCCCCAGGGAGGUGGGGCGCACACUCACCUCGUUCCUCCUGCUGGAGCCGGCCCUGUCCCUGUGCCUGCAUCGCAGCAGAAGUACCCUCUGUGCUCGGGACCCAGGCAGAUGUGACCUCCCCUCACCCCACAACCACCAGAGACAGCCCAGGGCAGACCCUGCCCAGCUCCUUCCCCAGGGCCUUGAGCACAUUACCAAAUGCUCUGUGCUUCAAUUCAGUUUCCCCAUCUCGGCAAAGGGCACUAACGGCCAUCUCACAAUGGUUCGUUGAGAGUCAAAGAGUCUGGAACAGUGUCUUGUAAACGUUGUUACAAUUGCCUGGAAGGUAAACUGAGAGCCAGAGACUCUCACACCAUAGAGCCACCCGCUCCCCACUCCAUUCCCCCGCCCCCGCUGCUCCUCACACAGUGUCCUCCAGCAUCAUGCCCUGGGUUUCGGAGGUGCAGAGGGUGCCCAGGUAGGAGCUUGGGGAGGCUCACACAUUCACACUGGUGUGAAGGGGCGUGCAUGUCACGUCCAGCAGUGUGCUGUGUGCCCCUCCACGUGCGAAGCUGCGGUCCACACCAAGGGGGGCCUACAGAGGAUCUUGGGCCCCCAGACCUCCACCUGCUGCAGAGCUGCCGCCAGUCAAGCCCUUGUUUCCGGCUUUCUGCGCCCUAAAUAAACUUCCGUCAGGUUUGAGCCGUCA